UAAGGAAUAUUGGGCAAUGGACGCAAGUCUGACCCAGCCAUGCCGCGUGAAGGAUGAAUGUCCUAUGGAUUGUAAACUUCUUUUAUGCAGGAAAAAUAUCCUGGUCGAGCACCGGGACUGAUGGUACUGUAUGAAUAAGCAUCGGCUAACUCCGUGCCAGCAGCCGCGGUAAUACGGAGGAUGCAAGCGUUAUCCGGAUUCAUUGGGUUUAAAGGGUGCGCAGGCGGAAUGAUAAGUCAGUGGUGAAAUCUCCCGGCUCAACCGGGAAACUGCCAUUGAUACUGUCAUUCUUGAGUACAGUUGAAGUGGGCGGAAUGUGUCAUGUAGCGGUGAAAUGCUUAGAUAUGACACAGAACACCGAUAGCGAAGGCAGCUCACUAAGCUGUAACUGACGCUCAUGCACGAAAGCGUGGGGAUCAAACAG
Molecule: ribosomal RNA, 424 nt
Filed under: uncultured bacterium
Lineage: Bacteria
Description: bacterial SSU rRNA
Rfam family: Bacterial small subunit ribosomal RNA
Source: RNAcentral